UUUAUCGUUUUGAUAGUAAGAUCUUCCUUCUCCCCCACCGUAUGGAUUAUUUCGUGCAUUUAUCCCCCCAUUUUGAUUCUGAAAUCUUAUUUCAGUGUUCUAAAGAUUCUAGGUUUGAGAAAGAAAAAAAAGUUCGAUGGUCGUGGGAAGACUACGGUAACUAAAAGGCCCCAUCUUUUUCUUUUUUUCUUUUGAUUCUUUUUUAUUUUUGAGUCAUUAUAUGUUUGGAGUGCUUCAACAUUGGUAAUUUUGUGAUUGUGAAGGCUGGAUGUAGAUGCUGGUCAUACAGCGACUCUGGAUGUAGAUCAUGUCAGGGACUUGGUUCUAAACUACUCAAGAUUUUUGACAAAAUGCUGAUUUUCUUAGGGUCAAUCUUCUAAUCUUCAUUAAGCGCGACCGCGCAUUACAUGGUGUUUGAUUUUUUCUUCUUAUAUCAGAAAAAGAAUAAACCUUAAUAUGCAAAAGAGAAACUUUACGAAAAUGUUGAUAAUGACAAAAAGAUAUCUUUCGUGGACUAAAUUACGAAAAUGUAGAACUUUGCUGACACUAAAUUUAAGGAUACCUGUGAUAUUCGUUUUACAAAAUACACAUAACUCGCUUGUUCUUCGAGGUCCUCACCUAUAUACCAUUUAUACUGCAGCACUGUGCUUGUGCGAUGCUUGAAGUGGGGAUUCAGGCCGUCGACGGUCACAAACCAUUUCCAUUCCAUUGUAAAAUAUAAUUGGAUCAUGUAGAAGUGAAACACAACGACCUUUAUGAUUCAGAUUGUGACAUAUGUACGAUUUACCAAAAUAUCGUAUUGAUGGACUUCAGAUUUGGGCCAUAUAUAGUAUACAAUAAAUAUAAUGGAUUUAUGGACUGUGUCAUUGCCUCUAAUUAUAUUUCGCAUCCAUGUCCAUUUGUUUCUAUCUUCAUUACCAAUCCUUGCAAUGGUGCAUAAUGAGUUACACUAUCAUGACUUUUGAUAUUUUGUGUGAGUUGAUACUAAUUUCAGGACGACUGCUACUUUUCUUUUGUGUGUGCAAUAAAAAACGAUCAUUCCUCAUGUAUUUAUGAGGUAUUAAUCUUAGAUGAGGACGUGGAAAGCGCUUGAUAGAUCCUGUGCAGCCUACGCUAGAAGGAAGAUGGGAGAAGCUUCUAAGCAGAGGAUGAGUGUUAUCUGCGGACACUCUAACUUGCAAGUCUUCCUCGAUCCCGUUUGAUGAGAGUUAAGGUUCUGUUCAGAUACUUCGAAAAAAGGUGGGUGUGAUCAGUGAAAACUUUGAACUAUAACUCAAAUAUCCAAUUACUUUUCUCCAGCAAGUUGGUGGUGGUGCAUUUCUUGCAUUUCAAGCAAAGGAAGAAGUUCAACAGCCA
Musa acuminata AAA Group (dessert banana) is the source of this 1356-nucleotide long non-coding RNA. RefSeq lists it as uncharacterized. Lineage: Eukaryota; Viridiplantae; Streptophyta; Magnoliopsida; Zingiberales; Musaceae. The transcript is spliced from 3 exons. The record is from RefSeq and is a predicted model, not a curated record.